Molecule: ribosomal RNA, 253 nt
Filed under: uncultured bacterium
Lineage: Bacteria
Description: partial 16S ribosomal RNA
Rfam family: Bacterial small subunit ribosomal RNA
Source: RNAcentral
UACAGAGGGUGCGAGCGUUAAUCGGAAUUACUGGGCGUAAAGCGUGCGUAGACGGUCAUGUAAGUCGGAUGUGAAAGCCCCGGGCUCAACCUGGGAAUUGCAUUCGAGACUGCAAGGCUUGGGUGCGGAAGAGGGAAGCGGAAUUUCUGGUGUAGCGGUGAAAUGCGUAGAUAUCGGAAGGAACACCAGUGGCGAAAGCGGCUUCCUGGUCCGACACCGACGUUCAGGCACGAAAGCGUGGGGAGCAAACAGG